Molecule: ribosomal RNA, 521 nt
Filed under: Pratylenchus brachyurus
Lineage: Eukaryota; Metazoa; Nematoda; Chromadorea; Rhabditida; Pratylenchidae
Description: eukaryotic LSU rRNA
Rfam family: Eukaryotic large subunit ribosomal RNA
Source: RNAcentral
UCGCUGUGCCUCUGGUGCAGYGAAGUGUAGCGUAUAGGCUGUGAAUUUGUGGCAGCUGGUUUGUUCAAGUUUCCCUUGACUGGGRCUCCACAGAAGGUGCAAGACCUGUCCAACCAGCCGGCUGUCACAUCRUCGCAUGCYUUGGAGUCGGGUUGUUUGGGAUCGCAGCCCAAAUCAGGUGGUAAACUUCAUCUAAGGCUAAAUAUGACCACGAGAYCGAUAGCAAACAAGUACUGUGAAGGAAAGUUGCAAAGCACUUUGAAGAGAGAGUUAAAGAGGACGUGAAACCGGUGAGGUGGAAACGGAUAGAGUCAGCGUAUCCGACUUGUAUUCAGCUGCGYGGUGUAACGGCCUCCGGUGCUGGCGUCUCCAGAUUGGGAACAGUGCUGGUCGGCCGAGAGCUGUGCUGUGCAUUUGCAAGUGGAGUGCGUCGAGAYYCAUGUGGUGGCGUCACAAACUUUGUUUUGAGGCCAGYUUGCUGGUACCCGAACUGGGCUAGUGAUGUUCACGCAUAUGUGUGU